Molecule: ribosomal RNA, 1597 nt
Filed under: Peristenus digoneutis
Lineage: Eukaryota; Metazoa; Arthropoda; Insecta; Hymenoptera; Braconidae
Description: eukaryotic LSU rRNA
Rfam family: 5.8S ribosomal RNA (bases 725-879)
Source: RNAcentral
GGAAGUAAAAGUCGUAACAAGGUUUCCGUAGGUGAACCUGCGGAUGGAUCAUUAACGCAUUUGCAUAAUAUCACUUUGUGGGUAAAACACCAAGUAUCGUUUUGUAUAUAUGAAUAUAAUGUACCAGUUACAUAUAUAACGAAUGUGUUGAAAAACACAAUAUAUUUGAACGAGCAUUCUUGUUAAUACGAGUAGACAUUUAAACAUCGUCAUAUGUUGCAUAUGUCUUUACUUAUAUUGCAGUAUGUCGGAAGCUAUUAACACUUGAUGAAUAGUCCAUUUGUGGUAACCCUAGUGUGCCAUUACAUUAGUGAACCACAUAAGGGGGGGUGCAAUCAAUGGUACAACUGCCUGAGGGUUUUAAAUGAAUAUGCGCCACAAACAUGUGUUAACCUUGUAUUUUCGGUGAGUAUCUUGAUACGAUGCGUCCAUACGAUGUGCAUUUGAAUGUAAAUAUAUAGCACAAAUAAAAUUGAGCUCCAUUCUGCCGUAAGACGUAGAUUCUUUCUACCUAUGCGUAGAAAAGUUUUUCAUGUUCUGUGUACGGUUGGUGUGUGUCAUGACGUACAUCUAUGAAAGUGAUCGACUACUUGAGUGUACUAGGUCGUCACUUUCAGUGUGCUAUCAUUCACAUAUCGUGCCUUGUAUGUUAUGACGUUUAUCGUCGUAGCUCAAGAAAUUUUGUGACAAAGUAAUAAUAUACAUUGAAAAAUAUAUAUAUGAUUACCCUGAAUGGUGGAUCACUUGGCUCGUGGGUCGAUGAAGAACGCAGCUAAUUGCGCGUCAACUUGUGAACUGCAGGACACAUGAACAUCGACAUUUUGAACGCAUAUUGCGGUCCACGGAUUUAAUUCCCGGACCACACCUGGCUGAGGGUCGUUUAUAAUAUAAAGACUGCUUACAGGUCAUGUUUUUUGAAUGUAUUUGAACAUGACUGGCUCAAGCGUGUUAUAUGAAUAUACUGGUCGAUUCGUUUUAUUCGGGUACAUUUUGAAUAUAUAGACCGUUACUCGAAUUUAAACGUCGAUUGAAAUGAAGUUUUUUUGUGUUACAAUGAAUUAUUCAUCUGGCCAAAGCUUAAAAAUCUUCUCAAUGGCAGCAAUGUUGAAUGUAAAUUCAGCAAAAAUGUGAAGACUAUGAUGUGGAAUGUAAGCCGUAUAGUUUGCAGCCAAAUCGUGUUGUCAAUCAUUACAGCAAUUGAUUAUAUAACAUGCGUACCAAUGUGAAGAUGAUAUUUGGAUGAUAUGUAAUAUAAACAUAUUGCCGAUCAUCGAGUCCCUGAGCUCCUCUAUAUAUAUAGAAGUACAGGAGGACAGAUUUUGAUUGCGUGCAUUAUGGGAUAUUUGUAUUAUGUGGAAUUUAAGAAACGUCUUCGCAUGGAUAAUGAUUGUUUACACCGAUGAGUAGGCAAAAAUAUUGUUCGUUACGUUCAUUGCUAUUUUUCAAGUAAGAGUAUGCAUUUACGUUCAGCAAUCAUGGUAUUUCUUUUUUGUUAUUUGUAUUGCCAAAGAUUCGAUUAUAUAUUUUGAAAUUAUAACUGACGACCUCAGAGUAGGUGAGACUACCCGCUGAAUUUAAGCAUAUCAAUAAGCGGAGA